GGCGGGCGGGCGUCCGGCGGGAGCUCUGAGGGGGCGCUGGUCUCCCUGGACCGCAGGCCGGGAUCGAGCCGCAUUUCUGAGGCGAAAGGGCUGUCCCCGCGCCUCGACGCCCCCGACCGCGGGGCGCGGCGCCGCCUCCGCGUCAGACCUUUCUUCCCGCCCCAGCCUCGGUGGUUCCCGCCAACGGGCGGGGCGGAGGGCCCCGGAAGCCGGCACAACGAGCACUUCCGGGUCGGGGAGCGCGCGGCGGCGGCGGCGGCGGCGGCGGCGGCCGAGUGGCGACCGGGCCUAGUCGCGCCUCUCGCUCGGGCGGCGGCGGCCAGCGCUGGAGCGGCCGCGACUUGCGAGGUUCCUGGAGCUGGACUCCAAUGUACAGCGAUGGAUGACGACUCCCUGGAUGAGCUCGCGACCCGGAGCCCAGGGCCAGACGGAUGCCCGCCGGCCAGCGACACUGAAGGCAGCGGUGGCAGCAGCGAGGGCUCCGAGGACGACACAGGCAGCGAGCACGGGGACAGCAGUGGCAGAGAGGAUGAGGCAGGGGCCUCUGAGGAGGAAGAGGACGAAGACCUGGGAGACAGAUACGGUUCCGAAGACUCCGAGGAAGAUGCGGAAGCCGUAGUGGCUGUAGUGGAUGCUCAGGGGAAGUUGGAAGCCAGCGGCGCGUUCAAUUCAGACGAUGACGCGGAGAGUUGCCCGAUUUGUCUCAAUGUGUUCAGAGACCAGGCUGUGGGGACGCCAGAGAACUGUGCCCAUUACUUCUGCCUGGACUGCAUCGUCGAGUGGUCCAAGGUAAGAUGGCCCCCACGGUGGUUCUCGGCCUCCAGGGAGCCGUGGGCGUCCAGGGCCACCCUGUGCCGCAGGCUGUCAGGUGAGUGUGGUGUGUCGGGUGACGAGGCACAGGAGCACACGGAGAAGGCACCGCUCUGUGCCGGCCGCGGCGGCCAUCGGAGGGUGAACCAACGGCAAAGGAAGACCUUUCUCUCUGUCACU
This is a non-coding RNA of Oryctolagus cuniculus (rabbit), 990 nucleotides long. NCBI's taxonomy places the organism in Eukaryota, Metazoa, Chordata, Mammalia, Lagomorpha, Leporidae. The record is from RefSeq and is a predicted model, not a curated record.